RNAcentral lists this Y RNA (110 nucleotides) under Prolemur simus (greater bamboo lemur). Its description in RNAcentral is "Y RNA (ENSPSMG00000017692.1)". It matches the Rfam family "Y RNA". From Rfam's summary of the family: Y RNAs are components of the Ro ribonucleoprotein particle (Ro RNP), in association with Ro60 and La proteins. Lineage: Eukaryota; Metazoa; Chordata; Mammalia; Primates; Lemuridae. The record is from Rfam by way of RNAcentral.
GGCUGGUCCGAAGGUAGUGAGUUAUCUCACUUGAUUGUUCAGUCAGUUACAGAUUGAACUCCUUAUUCUACUACUUCCCCCUUCUCACUACUGCACUUAAGUAGUCUUAA